RNAcentral lists this ribosomal RNA (202 nucleotides) under Salmonella enterica subsp. enterica serovar Infantis. RNAcentral's name for it is "partial 23S ribosomal RNA". It matches the Rfam family "Bacterial large subunit ribosomal RNA", at positions 585 to 789 of the family's 2925-position model. The record is from RNAcentral. Lineage: Bacteria; Pseudomonadati; Pseudomonadota; Gammaproteobacteria; Enterobacterales; Enterobacteriaceae.
UUACCUGUGUGACUGCGUACCUUUUGUAUAAUGGGUCAGCGACUUAUAUUCUGUAGCAAGGUUAACCGUAUAGGGGAGCCGGAGGGAAACCGAGUCUUAACCGGGCGUUAAGUUGCAGGGUAUAGACCCGAAACCCGGUGAUCUAGCCAUGGGCAGGUUGAAGGUUGGGUAACACUAACUGGAGGACCGAACCGACUAAUGU